This 76-nucleotide transfer RNA is filed under the name Nitrosospira sp. Its description in RNAcentral is "tRNA-Lys". It matches the Rfam family "tRNA". From Rfam's summary of the family: Transfer RNA (tRNA) molecules are approximately 80 nucleotides in length. Their secondary structure includes four short double-helical elements and three loops (D, anti-codon, and T loops). Further hydrogen bonds mediate the characteristic L-shaped molecular structure. tRNAs have two regions of fundamental functional importance: the anti-codon, which is responsible for specific mRNA codon recognition, and the 3' end, to which the tRNAs corresponding amino acid is attached (by aminoacyl-tRNA synthetases). tRNAs cope with the degeneracy of the genetic code in two manners: having more than one tRNA (with a specific anti-codon) for a particular amino acid; and 'wobble' base-pairing, i.e. permitting non-standard base-pairing at the 3rd anti-codon position. Lineage: Bacteria; Pseudomonadati; Pseudomonadota; Betaproteobacteria; Nitrosomonadales; Nitrosomonadaceae. The record is from RNAcentral. RNAcentral also lists the same sequence under 23 other names.
GGGUCGUUAGCUCAGCCGGUAGAGCAGCGGACUUUUAAUCCGUUGGUCGCCAGUUCGAAUCUGGCACGGCCUACCA